ACUACGGGUGGCAGCAGUGAGGAAUAUUGGUCAAUGGACUAGAGUCUGAACCAGCCAAGUAGCGUGAAGGAUGACUGCCCUACGGGUUGUACACUUCUUUUAUAUGGGAAUAAAAUGUUCCACGUGUGGGUUUUUGUAUGUACUAUAUGAAUAAGGAUCGGCUAACUCCGUGCCAGCAGCCGCGGUAAUACGGAGGAUCCGAGCGUUAUCCGGAUUUAUUGGGUUUAAAGGGAGAGUAGGUGGAUUGUUAAGUAAGUUGUGAAAGUUUGCGGCUCAACCGUAAAAUUGCAGUUGAUACUGGCAGUCUUGAGUACAGUAGAGGUAGGCGGAAUUCGUGGUGUAGCGGUGAAAUGCUUAGAUAUCACGAAGAACUCCGAUUGCGAAGGCAGCUCACUGAACUGCAACUGACACUGAGGCUCGAAAGUGUGGGUAUCAAACAGGAUUAGAGACCCGGGUAGUC
RNAcentral lists this ribosomal RNA (460 nucleotides) under uncultured bacterium. RNAcentral's name for it is "partial 16S ribosomal RNA". It matches the Rfam family "Bacterial small subunit ribosomal RNA", at positions 338 to 795 of the family's 1533-position model. The record is from RNAcentral.